Molecule: ribosomal RNA, 176 nt
Filed under: uncultured bacterium
Lineage: Bacteria
Description: partial 16S ribosomal RNA
Source: RNAcentral
GGGGUAUCUUGCGCACUGGGCAGAAGGCCUGACGCAGCGAUCGCCGCGUGAGGGAUGACGGCUCUUCGGGAGUGUAAACCUCUUUUGCCUGAGACGAAUNUGCGCAGCGUUCANCGUGGAUUAGACCUGUCAUGGUGGGUGUACACUAAGCCACCCGAGCUCAGCUGCGUGACCUA